This is a long non-coding RNA of Triticum aestivum (bread wheat), 622 nucleotides long. RefSeq lists it as uncharacterized. The transcript is spliced from 2 exons. NCBI's taxonomy places the organism in Eukaryota, Viridiplantae, Streptophyta, Magnoliopsida, Poales, Poaceae. The record is from RefSeq and is a predicted model, not a curated record.
CUCCAAGUGCCAUUUACCGUUUUUGUGUUUUGAUUUUUACUUGAGUGCCUUUGGACCGAUGGUAGUAUGGAGAGGUGACAUUAGCACGGUUGAUGGUUGCUUCUCUCUUGUAGAGUACAUCUCCUUCUUCUAUAUUCCAAUAUAUCAAUAAAACAAGAGAUCUAUAAUAUCAUUGUUUAUGGAGUUCACAGAUUAUUGAAGAUUUUUGCUGCCAUGGAAUUGUGAGUUUGUGACUAUACAUUCUUGUGUCUUGAAGAUGUAUUGUCUCUGUAUGUGAAUGUCAAUAUCCAGAGUCCAUGAUAUCAUACAGUUUGAAGUCAAAAAAUUCAUGAUAUGGGUGAUAUGGAAAAGUCAUUGCCUUCUUUGCUGGAACAUUCCCUGAUUGCCUGGACUUCUUGGGUCAAUCGCUGGACGCCACCCCCGUCUCCUGGACGUCAUGACGCCGCCGAUUUCCUUGACGCCGCGUGCCACCGAUCUUCUAUAACUCAAUUUCUCCAAUUUCUCUCGGCUGUGAGCUCAUAUAUAUUUUUGAGCUGUGAACUUAUUAUGUAAACUCAACACUUUGUUUUGUGACAAGUGAACUCAUUUCAUAUUCAUCUAUCAAUCAUGGUUGAAGUGUCUA